Molecule: small RNA, 100 nt
Filed under: Pongo abelii (Sumatran orangutan)
Lineage: Eukaryota; Metazoa; Chordata; Mammalia; Primates; Hominidae
Description: processed transcript
Source: RNAcentral
CUCACAUCUGGUGCAGGCACCAGUGCAGCUCCAGGGAAGGAGUCUUGCUUUCAGAAGUUCUGUGUGAGGAGGAAAGCAAGGGUUAUACACUGAACUUAGU